AGGGUUUGAUCCUGGCUCAUAUUGAACGCUGGCGGCAGGCCUAACACAUGCAAGUCGAGCGGUAGAGAGAAGCUUGCUUCUCUUGAGAGCGGCGGACGGGUGAGUAAUGCCUAGGAAUCUGCCUGGUAGUGGGGGAUAACGUUCGGAAACGGACGCUAAUACCGCAUACGUCCUACGGGAGAAAGCAGGGGACCUUCGGGCCUUGCGCUAUCAGAUGAGCCUAGGUCGGAUUAGCUAGUUGGUGAGGUAAUGGCUCACCAAGGCGACGAUCCGUAACUGGUCUGAGAGGAUGAUCAGUCACACUGGAACUGAGACACGGUCCAGACUCCUACGGGAGGCAGCAGUGGGGAAUAUUGGACAAUGGGCGAAAGCCUGAUCCAGCCAUGCCGCGUGUGUGAAGAAGGUCUUCGGAUUGUAAAGCACUUUAAGUUGGGAGGAAGGGUUGUAGAUUAAUACUCUGCAAUUUUGACGUUACCGACAGAAUAAGCACCGGCUAACUCUGUGCCAGCAGCCGCGGUAAUACAGAGGGUGCAAGCGUUAAUCGGAAUUACUGGGCGUAAAGCGCGCGUAGGUGGUUUGUUAAGUUGGAUGUGAAAUCCCCGGGCUCAACCUGGGAACUGCAUUCAAAACUGACUGACUAGAGUAUGGUAGAGGGUGGUGGAAUUUCCUGUGUAGCGGUGAAAUGCGUAGAUAUAGGAAGGAACACCAGUGGCGAAGGCGACCACCUGGACUAAUACUGACACUGAGGUGCGAAAGCGUGGGGAGCAAACAGGAUUAGAUACCCUGAUAGUCCACGCCGUAAACGAUGUCAACUAGCCGUUGGAAGCCUUGAGCUUUUAGUGGCGCAGCUAACGCAUUAAGUUGACCGCCUGGGGGAGUACGGCCGCAAGGUUAAAACUCAAAUGAAUUGACGGGGGCCCGCACAAGCC
RNAcentral lists this ribosomal RNA (929 nucleotides) under uncultured Gammaproteobacteria bacterium. RNAcentral's name for it is "bacterial SSU rRNA". It matches the Rfam family "Bacterial small subunit ribosomal RNA", at positions 8 to 931 of the family's 1533-position model. Lineage: Bacteria; Pseudomonadati; Pseudomonadota; Gammaproteobacteria. The record is from RNAcentral.